Schistocerca serialis cubense is the source of this 4400-nucleotide long non-coding RNA. RefSeq lists it as uncharacterized. NCBI's taxonomy places the organism in Eukaryota, Metazoa, Arthropoda, Insecta, Orthoptera, Acrididae. The transcript has 3 exons. The record is from RefSeq and is a predicted model, not a curated record.
UUUGUCCAGUUGUCUAUAGUUUUGUGUAUACAAAGUGAAUUGUUUACAGUGAUGCUUGGUGGUUUUUGGAACGAAGAAAUUUUUAGUGACAUACGAAUGAUGAUUGCCGUUAUUCUUCAUUUAUGCAGUGGCAGUGGAAAUUGUUUUCAGUUCUUCAGAAAGCGUUGGCGUCUCUGCGAAUGUUAAGCCUGUGGGCGUGCAGCCAUAACCUGGCUGAGAAUUCUUUUAGUGUCAGGGAUUACGAACUACUUAAUGGUUACGAAAGUAAACGAAUCUGUCCAUACGGAUGCAUAAGAUUAAAACUGUGCGCCGGACCGAGACUCGAACUCGAGACCUUUGCCUAUCGUGGGCAAGUACUCUACCAUCUACAGCAAAGAAGGGGCCAGAGAAAUGUUUUGCAAGCAGCAGCACUCUUCAAGGCUGAAUGAUUUAACUGUACAAUCUGAUGUGUAUGUAGAUUCCCCAGUGUUCACAGGUCCCAGCGCAUGGCAUCCGUCUCUACAGAGCUGCCACUACAUUGCUGGAUCUCUGCAACCUCAGUUUCAGAUAUCUUCAAAGUGUGCAGAACCUUUUGUUUGCACUAAUUGUGGCAAACAUUACCGCUUUAAGGGGAACUUGCAACGACAUGUGAAACAUGAGUGUGGCAAGUUGCCACAGUUUCAGUGUCCCUACUGCCCGAGGCAGAGCACUCAAAAGAGCAAUCUGAUUCGCCAUAUUAAAAAGUUUCAUCCUAUGGAACCGAUUGUAUAAAAUAGUGUACAUGUACUUCAGUAGUUGUUUUAUGAUUUGUUUCAAGUGUGAAACAAUACUGUUAACUAUUGUAGUACUGCUUGCAUAUGGUACUGUUGAACAGAACAUAGAUUGACUGAAUCUGGAAUGUUACUGCCAUAGUUGCUUUUGUAAUUAGAUGAAAUGAUAUUUGUUGUUAUUAAAGGCAGUGAUAAACUGCUCAGAUCAUCUGUUGUGGUUUUUUUCCGUAAAAUCCAGCUAUAUUUCAGUGCUAACAAAUCAACAACACAUCCAUCCCCCCCACCCCACCACCACCACACACCACACACACACACACAGCUUGUUUUUAUAGACAGAGAAAAAUAAUUUGUUGCAAGUCUUACACAACAAAUAAUUUGAAAGCAACCUUUGUCAACUUUUUUAAAUUGUGUUUUUAGUGUCUAAAUUAUUUCCGUUACAUCGAAUUCUAUGAUAAUUUCACUUUUUAUUGUAUGUAUAAGUAAAUUGGGUCAUUGUAUUUGCAUUGGUGAACUAGUCGUAUUUUGACACUGUAUGAUGAGAAAUUAGGGUUUUUGGAAAGAAAAGAAAAGGUUGAGAUUGUGCUGUUUGAGUAUACAGAUUCCUGAGAUAGAAGGAUAUGCGUCCAUUUCUUAAUCACGCACUAACCAUUGGGACAACCUUUGCUAUUCAGUCAGUCACAUAGCCAUGAACAUGCUCAUUUAAAAAUAUUAUGAAGAUGGGAAAGCAAAUUAGCUCUCAGCUGUGAGACAUGGUUACAAAUAGUACAAGAAUUCUAAGUGUUCUAAGAUUUGACUGACUUGUUGAAGUUUUUGAUGUAAAUAUGCAUUUAGAAAUUAUGUUACAGGUCUUUUAUUUGAAGAUCAAACACAGUAUGUAAUAAGUGUUGUUGCCAGUAAAAUUAGGAAACUGUUAAAAAGUGCAUGUGAGGUAUUGGUAGAACAAGUUUUAGUAUUAGACAUUCUCUUUUCGCUUGUAAUGUGAUUGGCUCCGAGGAGCAGAUUAUAUAUGAAAAUAGGAAAAAUGUACAGUUAGUUACCAACUUCAAAAACAUAUAUUGGCUACCAUCUGACAAAGAUGCCGGGGUACUUGGAAGUAUAGGGUUUAUCAAAAUUGUCUUAGGUCCAUAUGGUUGUAUUUUAAUACACAUUUUAAUGUUAAUACCAUAUAUCCGAAUUAUUUCUCUGUAAUUUAAACUCUAUUGUUACAGGUUGCUAACAAGUAUGUCAUCAUGCCUCAGACUAUGUCUUGUUCUGCAGUUCGUAGUAAUUGCCAGCAGGAUUAGCAUAUGUUUCAUAAAUAUUCACAACAAGACAGAAUAGGUUUUUCUCCUGUACAUUUGUUUUUGCAGUGUAUGUGAUAAAAAACUGAAUUAUAUCAGUCCGUGUGAAUUGAUUUUUCUGUGAUACAUGGCCACUAUAUAAGAAUUAUUUGUAUAGCUUUCUGGUAAUCAAUGAUGAUAGUUAAUGGACGACUUUUAGUAUAGGGUGUUGACGUUUCUGACUGAGUAGCAUUUUAUAUGUCCCGCUGUGUCUAUUUUUAUUACACUUUGGGGGUGAUGUUUGUUCAUCUGUGUUUCUACCUUGAUAACUGACAAAACAUAAUGCUGCUUGAUAAUGAUCUUUGUUGUUUUUAGACAUUUCUUUAGCAAGCCAGCUGCGAGAACUGAACCAAUUCUGUAAUCAUAAGGUAUUUAUUAUUCAUUGUGUGAACUGUCGAUAUCUGUAUCAGCUGAAAUAUAAUUUGUGUUAAAGUAAUUCUACAGUUACCUCUUCAUAUCUUGAAAUAUUGUAUACGGUUGUCAACACUCAAAAUAUAUUGUUCAGUUAGCUGUGUAUUGUUGUUUCCAGAGUAAGCUACACCAUUAUGUAACGAUAAUUGUAAGACAAAACAAUUGCAAUCAUUGUUGCACAACUGCAUUCUCUCCUCCACAUUUCACUUUAAUAAAAGGCUGCUAAUUAUUGUACUGUUCAUUACUGAGAGAGAGAGAGAGAGAGAGAGAGAGAGAGAGAGAGAGAGAGGGCUGCCUACAAACAUAUAUUGAUACUAAAAGAUAAUAUUAUUAAUGCUGGUCCAGUGAAAUGUUGAGGAUUCUAUUUUUUCAAAACCUGUACUUUGAGACAGUGAUCCACUGGAUUAACCAAUUUUUAUCUGGAAAAGUAAAUAAAUGAACAUAAACACAUUAUUUUAUUCUUGUGAAGACUGCCUUUUCAGAUGCAUGAAGUUUCAAAAGUUGUUUAUGGAAUUUUUGGUCUGCAAAUUUUCAGGGGAUUAUCCAUAGUGGAACAUCAAGUAGUUUAGUGAAUUAUUUUUGCUAUUGUACUUUAAGGUACUUUUGUGUUCAGUAUAAAGAGGUAUUUUUUUAUUUAAUUCUUGUGCACAGACAUUUCAUGUGCCUUUUACGGAAACUAAACUGUCCUCUGUAAUAUUCUAAAAUCUUUUAUUAUCAGCAGGAGGGCCUUAAGGAUUUUUUAAGAUAAAUUCUUUUCAUUACAAUUUAAUAACUGGCACCGAUACUUCUGUUCUUAUGUCAGUGCAAAAGAAGAAGUUUAAUUUUUUUCAUUACAAUUUAAUAAGUGAUACUAAUACUUUUCUUCUUAUGUCAAUGCAAAGAAAGAAAGGUGGGUAGUUUGUUUAUUUAAAGAGACAUGGGUGGUGUGGACAUGGAGCAUGGUACGCUAGGGUUGUGUUCAAAGUGUAGUUACCUAUUGAUUUUGUAACAACUCAGUAGUUCUCGUUGUCAAGAGCUUUAAAGUUCAAGAAACUUUUCUCUACUGAAAGGUAAUGUCAUUACACUAAGUGUUGUACAUUUCAUAACACACCAACUUUGAUUUGGCUUACUGCAAGUAAGUAAGUAAGUUAAGUUGCUCAUUUCACAAGAAAAAAAAAAUUGUUUCGCCAAUGAAUUAUCUAGAAAUCAUCAGAACUUGUUCUUUUUAUUAUCUAUGGGUGAGAGACAUUAAGGCUCAUCUUCAUUGGUAACAGCUCAAGCAAUUUGCAAAAUACAUAUCUUUUUACAUUAUUAUGAGUCUGGUUAAUCUUGUACCUAAUUUCUGAUUAACGUAGUUAAUUAUGUGGUUUGCAGACUCAACCAGUGAUGACGUCAAAUCUUGGGUUGGUUGGUCUACGACAAGAGGUAAAGAACUUUCCAGUCCAGCAUCAGAGGAUAAAUCUUCACUCCGUGCAUUGCGAUCGAGAGGUGUUUUUCCAUGUCCAAAAUGUGGACGGACAUAUGUUCGAAAGGAUUCGUUGAAGAGGCAUCUUCAGUGGGAAUGUGGCAAGGAGCCUACCUUUCAGUGCCCAUUUUGUCCCCAGCGAUGUAAGCGCAAGUCGCACCAGAUUCGUCACAUACGAAGACAGCAUAAAGACUUGGUGGAUGUGAUUGAAGACCUCUCAGAUUCUUAAGUCAUAAUCAUUUGCGCGGUGGACACCAGGUAUUGAGAUUUGUUGUUCUAGAAGUGUAUAGCAUCAUAGUAAGACUGUUACCUUAAUUUUUCAUGCAUCAUUGUCUCACAUAAAGGGCACAUGCCAAUAAAUGGGACAGAAACUGUGAGAAAUGUUAAUAAUGAAGAAUGUAUGUUUAUUGACAUUUGAAAGAGAUUAUACAUGUUUGAUAAAAACCGUCCUGAUUCAUAAAGUUACAUUUCAAUCAA